RNAcentral lists this long non-coding RNA (277 nucleotides) under Elaeis guineensis (African oil palm). RNAcentral's name for it is "long non-coding RNA (EGUI_LNC014161)". The record is from RNAcentral. Lineage: Eukaryota; Viridiplantae; Streptophyta; Magnoliopsida; Arecales; Arecaceae.
CAGCGGUCAUAACCGUCGGAAAAAAUAAGAUUUUUAUUAACAGCCAUCUACAGCAUUCCAUACUCUAAGUCAGAAAUUUCAGCAAAGGUGCUGCUUUUGAAGGCUAGUUAGCUUUAUUAUUCUUGUUGGUCCUUCAUUAUAUGUUACUGCAGUAGGUCCCUACCUUUCAAUACUGCUGACUAAGAUUGGAGGCUCCUGAUAUGGACAGCAGAGGUCUGCCAAGAGCUGUGUGACAUAGAAGGGUAUGGAUUUCAUCCUCUGUGUCUCAAUCACCCCA